AUACGUAGGGAGCGAGCGUUGUCCGGAAUUACUGGGUGUAAAGGGAGCGUAGGCGGAACUGCAAGUCAGAUGUGAAAUACCGGGGCUUAACCCCGGAGCUGCAUUUGAAACUGUGGUUCUUGAGUGAAGUAGAGGCAAGCGGAAUUCCUGGUGUAGCGGUGAAAUGCGUAGAUAUCAGGAGGAACACCGGUGGCGAAGGCGACUUUCUGGCUGACAACUGACGCUGAGGCGCGAAAGCGUGGGGAGCAAACAGGAUUAGAUACCCUGGUAGUCCACGCUGUAAACGAUGAUUACUGGGUGUGGGGGGACUGACCCCUUCCGUGCCGCAGUUAACACAAUAAGUAAUCCACCUGGGGAGUACGGCCGCAAGGUUGAAACUCAAAUGAAUUGGCGGGG
Molecule: ribosomal RNA, 396 nt
Filed under: uncultured bacterium
Lineage: Bacteria
Description: partial 16S ribosomal RNA
Rfam family: Bacterial small subunit ribosomal RNA
Source: RNAcentral